Molecule: ribosomal RNA, 538 nt
Filed under: uncultured bacterium
Lineage: Bacteria
Description: bacterial SSU rRNA
Rfam family: Bacterial small subunit ribosomal RNA
Source: RNAcentral
AAUAGAUACCCAGGUAGUCCACGCCGUAAACGAUGAGUGCUAAGUGUUAGAGGGUUUCCGCCCUUUAGUGCUGCAGCUAACGCAUUAAGCACUCCGCCUGGGGAGUACGGCCGCAAGGCUGAAACUCAAAGGAAUUGACGGGGGCCCGCACAAGCGGUGGAGCAUGUGGUUUAAUUCGAAGCAACGCGAAGAACCUUACCAGGUCUUGACAUCCUCUUGACCUCCCUAGAGAUAGGGAUUUCCCUUCGGGGACAGGAGUGACAGGUGGUGCAUGGUUGUCGUCAGCUCGUGUCGUGAGAUGUUGGGUUAAGUCCCGCAACGAGCGCAACCCUUGACCUUAGUUGCCAGCAUUCAGUUGGGCACUCUAAGGUGACUGCCGGUGACAAACCGGAGGAAGGUGGGGAUGACGUCAAAUCAUCAUGCCCCUUAUGACCUGGGCUACACACGUGCUACAAUGGAUGGUACAAAGGGCUGCAAGACCGCGAGGUUUAGCCAAUCCCAUAAAACCAUUCUCAGUUCGGAUUGUAGGCUGCUAACG